Molecule: non-coding RNA, 91 nt
Organism: Trematosphaeria pertusa
Lineage: Eukaryota; Fungi; Ascomycota; Dothideomycetes; Pleosporales; Trematosphaeriaceae
Source: the annotation of a RefSeq genome assembly
UCCGUCAUAGUCCAGUGGUUAGGAUAUCUGGCUUUCAGCAUCUGGCUGGAAAGGCGCCCAGGAGACCCGAGUUCGAACCUCGGUGACGGAA